This 84-nucleotide transfer RNA is filed under the name Felis catus (domestic cat). It matches the Rfam family "tRNA". From Rfam's summary of the family: Transfer RNA (tRNA) molecules are approximately 80 nucleotides in length. Their secondary structure includes four short double-helical elements and three loops (D, anti-codon, and T loops). Further hydrogen bonds mediate the characteristic L-shaped molecular structure. tRNAs have two regions of fundamental functional importance: the anti-codon, which is responsible for specific mRNA codon recognition, and the 3' end, to which the tRNAs corresponding amino acid is attached (by aminoacyl-tRNA synthetases). tRNAs cope with the degeneracy of the genetic code in two manners: having more than one tRNA (with a specific anti-codon) for a particular amino acid; and 'wobble' base-pairing, i.e. permitting non-standard base-pairing at the 3rd anti-codon position. The record is from Rfam by way of RNAcentral. Lineage: Eukaryota; Metazoa; Chordata; Mammalia; Carnivora; Felidae. RNAcentral also lists the same sequence under 2 other names.
GCCUGGGUGGCUCAGUCGGUUGAGCGGCUGACUUCGGCUCAGGUCAUGAUCUCGCAGUCGUGAGUUCAAGCCCCGCAUCGGGCU